GGGUUUCCCAGAACGAGAGAGGACACAUCCUGGAGCUGGCGGAUGGGCGCCGCCCGUCCCUAUGGCAGGGUGGCGGGCGUGCAGCCGGGCUAAAGUUGCGAAGGAAGCCACUUCAGAGGUUUGGGCCUGGACGGGAGUUGUUUGUGCGGUCAAGACCCUCGUAAUGCACUUUGCCAGCAGAACUCGGCCGGCUGGUCGCCGAAGGCGGCCGGUACAACCAGCAAGAACUUGAGGAAGGGCGCGCCGGGUAGCAGGUGAAAGGCGUCCAGUCUCCCCGGAAGAAGGAAAGGGAACACAGCACCCCGGCUCACGGGAGAGCAUCUACGGGGGUGCAGUUCGGCGGUGGCGACACCAGGAAGAUGUGGUAGAUGCAGUGCGGAGACUCCACUUCAACGGAAUUUGCAGGGGAUCACUGACAGGGUCGCCCGCAAAGACCAGGUGAAGGCAGGAGGCGCCAGAGUUAUAUCACCAGUGUUGUUCACUGUGGUUCCCCCCCCCCCCGUUACGAACCUCUGUGGCUGGCAUUCCUUUGGUUGUGAUUAUUUAUGGAAGGAACGGAGGUGCGCUCAGCCACUGUUGUGGUCCGGACCGGUUUGAGACAUCAAGGGAAAAAAGAUCCAAGCCAGUGUUUUGGAGGAAUGAAUCAGUCAUUUAGAGAAGGAGUAUGUGUUGCAAGUGAGGGACAGGAAGGAGACCAAGAUGCAGAUAGAUGAUCCCAAAGGGAUGGAGUGAGUGGAAGGGUAAAGUAAGGAAGCACAGAACAGUUGAAAGCACUAACCUACUUCCAGAGUCUUCAGUGGAGACCCCAGUUGGUUCCUGGGCCCAGUCAUGAUGACCUGUUUUCCCUUUUUGGACUUAGAAUUGAUGUGUGAGGCAUUUAGAAUAAAUUUCCAUCUGCUUCAGCCAGGCAUGAAUUAGCUAAGUGGAUAAGAAGGGCAGCCCUCUGGGGCCUUCAGCCUAUCCCUGUUUGUAGAGGAGGGGCCCUGGGACCUCUGUAAUGGAACUGAGAUGGCUUUGGUUGUCAAGCCAACAGGUAAGUGGAGUUCUCUGAGGAGGUAGUGGUUGGUGAUUAGAGAUACUCCUGAAGGCCUCAAAUCAAGAGCCUGUGUCCAGGGCAGUUCUGGGGAGAAGAAAGAGUGUACUCUGGUGCUCCCCAUCCCCAUGCAAGAGAACAGAACCUGCUGGGCUAAGAGCCCAGCCCCAAAGUGAUUUAAUUUGGCAUGCAUAUAA
Molecule: long non-coding RNA, 1230 nt
Organism: Perognathus longimembris pacificus (Pacific pocket mouse)
Lineage: Eukaryota; Metazoa; Chordata; Mammalia; Rodentia; Heteromyidae
Exons: 3
Source: RefSeq, a predicted model, not a curated record